UACGGAGGAUCCAAGCGUUAUCCGGAAUCAUUGGGUUUAAAGGGUCCGUAGGCGGUCUUAUAAGUCAGUGGUGAAAGCCCAUCGCUCAACGAUGGAACUGCCAUUGAUACUGUAAGACUUGAAUGCUUAGGAAGUAACUAGAAUAUGUAGUGUAGCGGUGAAAUGCUUAGAUAUUACAUGGAAUACCAAUUGCGAAGGCA
Molecule: ribosomal RNA, 200 nt
Filed under: uncultured bacterium
Lineage: Bacteria
Description: partial 16S ribosomal RNA
Rfam family: Bacterial small subunit ribosomal RNA
Source: RNAcentral